GCUGCCAUGGCCUUGGGCAGUUCUGCCUCUGUGGCUUUACAGGGUACAGCCCCACUCCGGACUGCUUUCAUAAGCUGAUGUUGAGCGUCUGUGCAUUUUCCAGGUGCAUGGUGCAAGCUGUUGAGGUAGCUCCUGCUUCUGCAUCAUGAAGGAAGUUGCACUUGUUCCCGCAGAAACAGGAUAUCACUGACCACAUCUGACAUGACAACACAGCAAGGAAAUGGAGCACCUUUGAACUGCAGCAUAUCAUCACCCGGAGCUCGACAGAAACCCAGGCUCUCAGCUAUCCCCAUCCCCUGCUCUCCAGCCAAGACCCGGGGAGUCAGCACCUGCAUUUUCGCAAGCUCCCCAGGUGGUUUGUAGCACACUGAACUGCCAGUAGCACUGUCUUUCAGAACUAUGCCAAGGCCAGACAGUGGCAGGGACUCAACCACACUCUGCCCCACAUGAGGAGGUUGACAGAACGCAGAGAGGGCCCAGGGACGAGGCCCAGGCCAGGCAUUUGGGGAAACACAACAGGAGGCACAGCCCAGGGGGCUGAGUCUGUGCCCAGCGACCUGGCUGGAAAGCAAUCCCAAAUCUCUCCCGCUCUGAGGACUCUGUGUGGUUAGAAAUAAUCUCUGGAAGCCAAAGGGCUAAGUGGCACGUUCCCUGUGUGCCUGUCUGGCUUUCAGGGACGUCUCUUUGUUGUGAAUUCUGUCACUUCCUGUCACAAGAGGGCUUUGGAACUGAAGUUACUCUUGAGAGCAUCAGGUAAAAUUUUUGAAUUAAAAUAAAACCAGUUGGCCAGGCGCAGUGGCUCACGCCUGUAAUCCCAGCACUUUGGGAGGCCGAGGCGGGCGGAUCACUUGAGGUCAGGAGUUUGAGACCACCCUGGCCAACAUGGCGAAACUCCCUCUCUACUAAAAAUACAAAAGUUAGCCGGCAUGGUAGCUCAUGCCUGUAAUCCCAGCUACUUGGGAGGCUGAGGCAGGAGAAUCUCUUGAACCGAGGAGGUGGAGGUUGCAGUGAGCCAAGAUGGCGACACUGCACUCCAGCCUGGCGACAGAAUGACACUCCGUCUCAAAAAUAAAUAAAUAAAACCAGUUGACAAAGGAAGCUGUGCUGAAGUAAUAGAGAUUUUAUAAUAGGAAGGAGCACAUGGGAGGGCUCCUGACUUCUUGAGAAGCGACUGUCACCGAGGAAUAGGCGGGACACUAUCAGAGGCGGAGCCCCUGCUGGCUACUCCAAGAGCCAGGUCUACCUCAAAUCCCGAACUCACAAACCUACUAGUGAGUGCUGAGCACCUCCUCCAGCAGCCUCAUACAGGGAGAUGCCAGGAAGAACCAACAAGCCCACUCCAUCCUGGUGGAAAUAGCUAUUAUUCCACUGAUAAUCCAUUUAGACCCGAAAAAAGGAAAAUAACAGAGGACCGUGAACAGAACGAUUCUUCAGCAGGUGUAUUCCCAAUCCAACAUUCUGCUACAGCCGAGAUAAAUAAACUGAAGUUCUGCUGAACAAGAAAGGAUGUCAGUACAACCUAAAAUCAUUUGCCAGAAAAUAUGAAAAUAUAGAAUCCUUCCUUUUCUGGAGGGUGGUCUUGAAGUCUGUCACCAGAAGAACUCAUACCUGAAGCGGGGACAAUGGAGCCCACUGAGCAGUGCAAGCUGGGCUCCAUUAUCAGAGUAACCACACCUGCAGAAUGGGACAUGCUUUGUUUGCCCUAACCCAAGGCCAGAUUUCUUUUUAGUUGGAAAAAAAAAUGGUUUUAAGUAAGAAUGUUGUGCAAGGGAUAGAGUGGCGGGAAUCGUAGAGGAAGAUCACGUCCAACAACCACAGUGCACCACAAGUUCUUGGAACCUGCUGCUGCCUUCAUAUUUGGCACUAACCAGCCUAUUGUCCUGUCUAGACAAGUGCUACAGGCUGAGUAAACAGGGAAUUGCUGCAUAAAGCCUCUAUUCAUCCAGAAUGAAAAUGUGUCAAUGUGCAGCCUUUUAGAGUCCAAGGGGGCCUUUGUACAGAGAAAGAACUGUUUACAGUCACUUUGGUUUUCAAUUAGUAGUCACUUAUUAAUGUUACAAAAUUUAAAACCCAUCUGCCUUAAAUUUUAAGUGCAAUUUACAAGACGUUUUAUUUUAUUUGAAAUUCUAAUAAAAUAUGAGUCACUUUUAGUUAUUAUUUUAUUAAUACCUGAUUAACUUAAGCUAAACAGGCUAAAUUCCUUUUAAUAGCCAUUCCCAUUUACAAAGUUAGUUAAUUCCCCAAGUUCUUAGUCAUUUCCAUAAGCAUUUUAAUUAUUUGCAAAUUUCACAUAUUUAAGGUUCUCUUCUAGGAGUUCAAAUGCUUAAAGGGUAAACUAAACAUUCCUUACAAGCAAUACAAUUUUAUAAUCUAAUAAAUUAGACUACAGAUAGAUAGAUAUUAAUAUAGAUAUAUUAAUGCACCACAUAAUGACCACAUACACCAAUGAUGUUUGUCCCAUAAGAUUAAAAUGGAGUUGAAAAAUUCCUAUUGCCUAGUAAUAUAACAGCCAUCGUAAUGUCAUAAGGCAACACAUUACUCAUGUAUUUGUGGUGAUGCUGGUGUAAACAAACCUACUGAGCUGCCAGUCCUAUAAAAGUCUAGCACAUACAAUUCUGUAUAGUGCAUAAUACUUGAUAAUGAUAAUAAAUGGCUGUUACUGAUUUACAUAUUUGCUAUAUUUUUACUGCUAAUUUAGAGUGUACUCCUUCUACUCAGAAAAAUAAAAAACUUAACUGUAAAACAGCCUCGCACAGGUCCUUCAAGAGGUAUCCAGAAGUUGUUGUUAUCAUAGGAGAUGAC
Molecule: long non-coding RNA, 2802 nt
Organism: Gorilla gorilla gorilla (western lowland gorilla)
Lineage: Eukaryota; Metazoa; Chordata; Mammalia; Primates; Hominidae
Exons: 3
Source: RefSeq, a predicted model, not a curated record